Molecule: ribosomal RNA, 490 nt
Filed under: uncultured bacterium
Lineage: Bacteria
Description: partial 16S ribosomal RNA
Rfam family: Bacterial small subunit ribosomal RNA
Source: RNAcentral
AUUGAACGCUGGCGGCAGGCCUAACACAUGCCAGUCGAACGGUAACAGAAAGCAGCUUGCUGCUUUGCUGACGAGUGGCGGACGGGUGAGUAAUGUCUGGGAAACUGCCUGAUGGAGGGGGAUAACUACUGGAAACGGUAGCUAAUACCGCAUAACGUCGCAAGACCAAAGAGGGGGACCUUCGGGCCUCUUGCCAUCGGAUGUGCCCAGAUGGGAUUAGCUUGUUGGUGGGGUAACGGCUCACCAAGGCGACGAUCCCUAGCUGGUCUGAGAGGAUGACCAGCCACACUGGAACUGAGACACGGGCCAGACUCCUACGGGAGGCAGCAGUGGGGAAUAUUGCACAAUGGGCGCAAGCCUGAUGCAGCCAUGCCGCGUGUAUGAAGAAGGCCUUCGGGUUGUAAAGUACUUUCAGCGGGGAGGAAGGGAGUAAAGUUAAUACCUUUGCUCAUUGACGUUACCCGCAGAAGAAGCACCGGCUAACUCCGUG